UUUUCGAAGAGUUUGAUCCUGGCUCAGAGUGAACGCUAGCGGCGCGCCUAACACAUGCAAGUCGAGUGGGUUUAGACCCACGGCAAACGGCUGCGUAACACGUUGGAACCUUCCCCGGACUCAGGGAUAACCCCGCGAAAGCGGGGCUAAUACCGGAUGGCCUCGGUACCUCUCUAUACUGAACUCGAAGAUCGCUGUCGAAAAUGAUUCACCGAUUGUUAAACCAGCAUCAAUCUCAGUAUAUAGAGGUGCCGAGUAAAGAUUUAUCGGUCCGGGAGGGGCCUGCGGCCUAUCAGCUAGUUGGCGAGGUAACGGCUCACCAAGGCAAUGACGGGUAGCUGGUCUGAGAGGACGACCAGCCAGAAUGGAACUGCGACACGGUCCAUACUCCUACGGGAGGCAGCAGUGAGGAAUCUUCCGCAAUGGACGAAAGUCUGACGGAGCGACGCCGCGUGGUGGAUGAAAGCCUUAACUGGUUGUAAACACCUGUUCUGAGGGACGAAAUUUUUGACGGUACCUCAGGAGAAAGUAUCGGCUAACCCUGUGCCAGCAGCCGCGGUAAGACAGGGGAUACAAGCGUUACUCGGAAUUACUGGGCGUAAAGCGUCUGUAGGUUUUCCGAAAAGUCUGAGGUAAAAACUCAGGGCUUAACCCUGAGAGCGUCUCGGAAACUCUCGGAAUCGAGCAGUGGAGAGGCAUCUGGAAUGCCAUGUGUAGGAGUAAAAUCCGUAGAUAUAUGGUAGAACGCCAAAAGCGAAGGCAGGAUGCUAGCCACUUGCUGACACUGAGAGACGAAAGCAUGGGGAGCAAAGGGGAUUAGAUACCCCCGUAGUCCAUGCCCUAAACGAUGCGUGCUCGAUGUGGGAG
RNAcentral lists this ribosomal RNA (867 nucleotides) under Candidatus Peribacteria bacterium RIFCSPLOWO2_02_FULL_51_10. Its description in RNAcentral is "bacterial SSU rRNA". It matches the Rfam family "Bacterial small subunit ribosomal RNA", at positions 1 to 828 of the family's 1533-position model. Lineage: Bacteria; Candidatus Peregrinibacteriota; Candidatus Peribacteria. The record is from RNAcentral.